ACACUCCUGCGGGAGGCAGCAGUGGGGAAUUUUGGACAAUGGGCGAAAGCCUGAUCCAGCAAUGCCGCGUGAGUGAAGAAGGCCUUCGGGUUGUAAAGCUCUUUUGUCAGGGAAGAAACGGUGAAAGCUAAUAUCUUUUGCUAAUGACGGUACCUGAAGAAUAAGCACCGGCUAACUACGUGCCAGCAGCCGCGGUAAUACGUAGGGUGCAAGCGUUAAUCGGAAUUACUGGGCGUAAAGCGUGCGCAGGCGGUGUUGUAAGUCUGAUGUGAAAUCCCCGGGCUCAACCUGGGAAUUGCAUUGGAGACUGCAAGGCUAGAAUCUGGCAGAGGGGGGUAGAAUUCCACGUGUAGCAGUGAAAUGCGUAGAUAUGUGGAGGAACACCGAUGGCGAAGGCAGCCCCCUGGGUCAAGAUUGACGCUCAUGCACGAAAGCGUGGGGAGCAAACAGGAUUAGAAACCCUUGUAGUCCCAUGA
Molecule: ribosomal RNA, 476 nt
Filed under: uncultured organism
Description: partial 16S ribosomal RNA
Rfam family: Bacterial small subunit ribosomal RNA
Source: RNAcentral